UACGUAUGUCACAAGCGUUAUCCGGAUUUAUUGGGCGUAAAGCGCGUCUAGGUGGUUAUGUAAGUCUGAUGUGAAAAUGCAGGGCUCAACUCUGUAUUGCGUUGGAAACUGUGUAACUAGAGUACUGGAGAGGUAAGCGGAACUACAAGUGUAGAGGUGAAAUUCGUAGAUAUUUGUAGGAAUGCCGAUGGGGAAGCCAGCUUACUGGACAGAUACUGACGCUGAAGCGCGAAAGCGUGGGUAGCAAACAGGAUUAGAUA
Molecule: ribosomal RNA, 260 nt
Filed under: uncultured Fusobacteriaceae bacterium
Lineage: Bacteria; Fusobacteriati; Fusobacteriota; Fusobacteriia; Fusobacteriales; Fusobacteriaceae
Description: partial 16S ribosomal RNA
Rfam family: Bacterial small subunit ribosomal RNA
Source: RNAcentral